RNAcentral lists this ribosomal RNA (640 nucleotides) under uncultured Actinomycetes bacterium. RNAcentral's name for it is "bacterial SSU rRNA". It matches the Rfam family "Bacterial small subunit ribosomal RNA", at positions 231 to 885 of the family's 1533-position model. Lineage: Bacteria; Bacillati; Actinomycetota; Actinomycetes. The record is from RNAcentral.
UCGCGGCCUAUCAGCUUGUUGGAGAGGUAACGGCUCACCAAGGCAUCGACGGGUAGCUGGUCUGAGAGGAUGAUCAGCCACACUGGGACUGAGACACGGCCCAGACUCCUACGGGAGGCAGCAGUGGGGAAUCUUGCGCAAUGGGCGAAAGCCUGACGCAGCAACGCCGCGUGCGGGAUGAGGGCCUUCGGGUUGUAAACCGCUUUUACCAGGAAGGAAAAUGACAGUACCUGGAGAAUAAGGUGCGGCCAACUACGUGCCAGCAGCCGCGGUGGCACGUAGGCACCAAGCGUUGUCCGGAUUUAUUGGGCGUAAAGAGCUCGUAGGCGGUUCAGUAAGUCGGGUGUGAAAACUCUGGGCUUAACCCAGAGACGCCACCCGAUGCUGCUGUGACUUGAGUCCGGUAGGGGAGUGGGGAAUUCCUGGUGUAGCGGUGAAAUGCGCAGAUAUCAGGAGGAACACCAAUGGCGAAGGCACCUCUCUGGGCCGAGACUGACGCUGAGGAGCGAAAGCGUGGGUAGCAAACAGGAUUAGAUACCCUGGUAGUCCACGCCGUAAACGGUGGGCACUAGGUGUGGGUUCCAACCAACGGAAUCCGCGCCGUCGCUAACGCAUUAAGUGCCCCGCCUGGGGAGUACGG